RNAcentral lists this ribosomal RNA (436 nucleotides) under uncultured bacterium. RNAcentral describes it as "partial 16S ribosomal RNA". It matches the Rfam family "Bacterial small subunit ribosomal RNA", at positions 29 to 506 of the family's 1533-position model. The record is from RNAcentral.
AGCGAACGCUGGCGGCAGGCUUAACACAUGCAAGUCGAGCGGGCAUCCUUGUGGUGUCAGCGGCAGACGGGUGAGUAACGCGUGGGAACGUGCCCUUCGGUUCGGAAUAACUCAGGGAAACUUGAGCUAAUACCGGAUACGUGCGAGAGCAGAAAGGUUUAUCUGCCGAAGGAUCGGCCCGCGUCUGAUUAGCUAGUUGGUGAGGUUAUGGCUCACCAAGGCGACGAUCAGUAGCUGGUCUGAGAGGAUGAUCAGCCACACUGGGACUGAGACACGGCCCAGACUCCUACGGGAGGCAGCAGUGGGGAAUAUUGGACAAUGGGGGCAACCCUGAUCCAGCCAUGCCGCGUGAGUGAUGACGGCCUUAGGGUCGUAAAGCUCUUUUCUCCGGGACGAUAAUGACGGUACCGGAGGAAUAAGCCCCGGCUAACUUCGU